GAUGAACGCUAGCGGCAGGCUUAAUACAUGCAAGUCGAGGGGCAGCGCAGUGUAGCAAUACAUGGGCGGCGACCGGCAAACGGGUGCGGAACACGUACGCAACCUUCCUUUAAGUGGGGGAUAGCCCAGGGAAACUUGGAUUAAUACCCCGUAAUAUUAUGAAGUGGCAUCAUUUUAUACUUAUAGCUCCGGCGCUUAAAGAGGGGCGUGCGACUGAUUAGGUAGUUGGCGGGGUAACGGCCCACCAAGCCUGCGAUCAGUAACUGGUGUGAGCGCACGACCAGUCACACGGGCACUGAGACACGGGCCCGACUCCUACGGGAGGCAGCAGUAAGGAAUAUUGGUCAAUGGACGCAAGUCUGAACCAGCCAUGCCGCGUGGAGGAUGAAGGUCCUCUGGAUUGUAAACUUCUUUUAUUUGGGAAGAAACCCACUGUUUCUACGGUGGUUGACGGUACCAGAUGAAUAAGCACCGGCUAACUCCGUGCCAGCAGCCGCCGUAA
Molecule: ribosomal RNA, 502 nt
Filed under: uncultured bacterium
Lineage: Bacteria
Description: partial 16S ribosomal RNA
Rfam family: Bacterial small subunit ribosomal RNA
Source: RNAcentral